This is an RNA transcript of Vigna umbellata (rice bean), 1454 nucleotides long. It is a transcript of the gene named transcription factor MYB4-like, with no coding region annotated. The record is from RefSeq and is a predicted model, not a curated record. Lineage: Eukaryota; Viridiplantae; Streptophyta; Magnoliopsida; Fabales; Fabaceae.
CCGUAAUUUAUCGACAGAUAUGAACCUUCGGUAUUGUGACCGAUGACUUAACCUAAAUUUUGGGUAUUCUCGCUCAUUUGCAAUUUCAGCAGUUCCCUUUCCCCAAAUUUCUCUCUUCUCUUCCCCCGAAAUUGAAAUCUAAGGGCAAGUGAGGGUACCCCCAAAUUUAUCCUCCUUCGUUUGGUUACCUCCCAAAUUUAUCUUCCUUCGUUUGGUUUCCUUUUGUUUGCGCAUCAUCGGUCCCUUCCAUCUUCUGUUGGCAAAACGGUGUUAUGAAGAGCGCGAGCAUUUACGGUGGUUGAGCGGGUUCGUGCAAUCGAGGAGGGUGCCUCCCUUUUAAGUUCAUAAUCAUUCGCAGAGGGAAACACCUUCGAUGGCGACGGCGGCGGAGCCAAAAGCGAAGACCUACUGGUGCCACGAAUGCGAUAUGAGUGUGUCCCUCACGCUCCUUCCCUCGCCUCUCCAUUGUCCCCACUGCCAUACCUCCUUCCUCGAACUGAUGGACUCUCCCUUCUCCCAAAACGAAGCCGAAUCACCCCUCUUUGACGUUUUCCAGGACGCGCUCUUACUCCUCUCCUCCAAGCCCCUCUCCGCCAAACCACGCCCUCUCCCCUCUGUCAACGUCACACCCUCACUCCUUUCCGCGCUCGACCCCAACGGCGUCGUUUUCUCCGCUAUGUGCAAAGACCAAAUUUUCCUCGACGCUGAGGCCAAACAGUUGCCCUGCAAACACCUCUUCCUGCCGAUUGCAUCAAGUCGUGGCUCAACCUCCACGUGUCGUGCCCGUUGUGCAGGCUACCAUCUCUACAAAUAAACUCUUUUUCAUCUUUCCGCAUUUUUACUUUGCUUUCUCUCUCACUACCAAAAAAUUGACCCAAUUCCACAAAGGGAUAAGCUUGGUUCUAGAGUGAUAUAAAUUGCUCCGAAUUGGGUUUUCUCUAAGAAAAAAAAAGAUGAUAUUGAUGGGUGUGUUCCCUUUUGAGCAAAGUUAGUGAGUUGUAGAGGCGGUGGCAGGGAAUCGAAGCAUGAGCGCAGAGGAAGAUGACUUAGAGGGGAAAAGAUUGAAACUUUGCAAAGAUAAGGUGUUCAAUUGUGGUGUGAAGAAUUUCCAGCGCGAUCUGGUGGCUGGGGCGUUGAUGGGCGGUGUGGGAGUCGCAGAUUUAAGGCUUAGGCUUCAAUUUCUUCUGUGGCCCUCAAUUUCUCUCUCAAGGUCGUGGCUGUGGCAGGGGUGGAUAUCGUGGAAGGGGUUGUGGCUUUAGAUCAAAUAGACCAAUCCAAGCAGCUGAGGGCAUUAGGGCAUUUUCUUCUUACAUUUUUAUGUAGAUGUUUAGUUUUGAGAUUGCUGCCACAUAAGGCACCCUUUGUUUUAGACCUUAGUCAGUUGUACUUCUAUUUUUGGCCCUGAAUCUCAUUCUUUAAUUUUUAUUUUAUAAAGAAGUGUUUAAAUUCAUGCA